GGAAGAUGCCUGAAAAAGGAUUAUCUUGAUGUGAUAAAUCAUGUUUAUUAAAAACUCUUCUUAC
Molecule: transfer RNA, 64 nt
Filed under: Livia junci
Lineage: Eukaryota; Metazoa; Arthropoda; Insecta; Hemiptera; Liviidae
Description: tRNA-Ile
Source: RNAcentral